CCUACGGGAGGCAGCAGUGGGGAAUAUUGCACAAUGGGGGAAACCCUGAUGCAGCGACGCCGCGUGAGUGAAGAAGUAAUUCGUUAUGUAAAGCUCUAUCAGCAGGGAAGAAAAUGACGGUACCUGAGUAAGAAGUCCCGGCUAACUACGUGCCAGCAGCCGCGGUAAUACGUAGGGGGCAAGCGUUAUCCGGAUUUACUGGGUGUAAAGGGAGCGUAGACGGCGUGCCAAGUCUGGUGUGAAAGGCCGGGGCUCAACCCGGGGACUGCAUUGGAAACUGGCAUGCUGGAGUGCCGGAGGGGCAAGCGGAAUUCCUGGUGUAGCGGUGAAAUGCGUAGAUAUUAGGAGGAACACCGGUGGCGAAGGCGGCCUGCUGGACGGUAACUGACGUUGAGGCUCGAAAGCGUGGGGAGCAAACAGGAUUAGAUACCCCUGUAGUC
RNAcentral lists this ribosomal RNA (440 nucleotides) under uncultured bacterium. Its description in RNAcentral is "partial 16S ribosomal RNA". It matches the Rfam family "Bacterial small subunit ribosomal RNA", at positions 338 to 795 of the family's 1533-position model. The record is from RNAcentral.